UAUUGCCACUCCAUUUUUGCUUCUUGCAGAAACUAAUCCCCUAUAGUCAAAGCCUCAAAGGCUAAUCAAGUGCUUCACAUUCCCUGGAAACAUCAAAACAGAUCCCACAAUAGCAUGUCCCUGGCAAUAAGAAUAUACAAGCCAAGCUGAUGGGGAAAGCAAUCGAGUUCUGUGAGGAUCCAUGAUCAAAUUAUGUUCUCAAGUUACCUCUUUGACUACCAUUUAGGAAUUCAGAAUUUUGUCUAUGCCCAAAAGUGCUUCUUGGGACAUUGGAGCUGGGAAAACAAGUUUGGUAUUGAGAUUUGUCACAGGAAAAUUUUUGGAGUACCAUGUUACUUUUAACAUCAGACCAUCAGAGUCUUUGUUAUUGUAUAAUGUUUCAUUAUUCGUGCAUGUUCUUUCGCAUAAGCAUUAUAGUAUAAUUCAUUGCUUCUAACAUGUG
Long non-coding RNA from Rosa chinensis, 442 nucleotides. RefSeq lists it as uncharacterized. The record is from RefSeq and is a predicted model, not a curated record. NCBI's taxonomy places the organism in Eukaryota, Viridiplantae, Streptophyta, Magnoliopsida, Rosales, Rosaceae. The transcript is spliced from 4 exons.